Molecule: small nucleolar RNA, 138 nt
Organism: Tachyglossus aculeatus (Australian echidna)
Lineage: Eukaryota; Metazoa; Chordata; Mammalia; Monotremata; Tachyglossidae
Source: RefSeq, a predicted model, not a curated record
CCCCUCUUAGGGUCUCACCUGGAGAGUUUCCAGUAUUCUACCAGUCACGACUACGGGAGGGAGAGUAAAGCCGAAGUCCACCCAUUCCAUUCCUAGCUUGGGAAGUGGCUAGCGAGUGGAAGGCAAUCGGCUACAAGU